RNAcentral lists this non-coding RNA (45 nucleotides) under Schistosoma margrebowiei. Lineage: Eukaryota; Metazoa; Platyhelminthes; Trematoda; Strigeidida; Schistosomatidae. The record is from RNAcentral.
AUCCGGCUGACGAGUCCCAAAGAGGACGAAACGCUCGUCCUGGAU